CUGUUGACUGAUACAUGGCCCGUAUGUCACUACACGGCCUAGGGCCGUGUAACUUAUUGGAACUUGAAGGUUGCAUCUUAUGUCAGAGCAGAAGAUUACACGGGUCUCGGCUAUUCACAUGGGUCCAAUUACAUGACCCAUGUCCUAUUGUUCUUCCAGAUACUCUUCAAGCUUUGCCAGGCAGAAUCUUACACGGGUCUCUGCAGGUUACAUGGCCCGUGUACUAUAUUUCUUCUU
This 237-nucleotide unclassified non-coding RNA is filed under the name Hevea brasiliensis (rubber tree). Lineage: Eukaryota; Viridiplantae; Streptophyta; Magnoliopsida; Malpighiales; Euphorbiaceae. The record is from RNAcentral.